This 370-nucleotide ribosomal RNA is filed under the name uncultured Gammaproteobacteria bacterium. Its description in RNAcentral is "bacterial SSU rRNA". It matches the Rfam family "Bacterial small subunit ribosomal RNA", at positions 527 to 896 of the family's 1533-position model. The record is from RNAcentral. Lineage: Bacteria; Pseudomonadati; Pseudomonadota; Gammaproteobacteria.
AGAGGGUGCGAGCGUUAAUCGGAUUUACUGGGCGUAAAGCGUGCGUAGGCGGCUUUUUAAGUCGGAUGUGAAAUCCCCGAGCUUAACUUGGGAAUUGCAUUCGAUACUGGGAAGCUAGAGUAUGGGAGAGGAUGGUAGAAUUCCAGGUGUAGCGGUGAAAUGCGUAGAGAUCUGGAGGAAUACCGAUGGCGAAGGCAGCCAUCUGGCCUAAUACUGACGCUGAGGUACGAAAGCAUGGGGAGCAAACAGGAUUAGAUACCCUGGUAGUCCAUGCCGUAAACGAUGUCUACUAGCCGUUGGGGCCUUUGAGGCUUUAGUGGCGCAGCCAACGCGAUAAGUAGACCGCCUGGGGAGUACGGUCGCAAGACUA